GCUGCGAACCUGAUUAACCCAGCGAUCAACGCUCCGUCCUCCGCCUGCGAACUUCCCAUCCUGCCCAUCCUCUUGGCUUCCUUGGGGCAAUUCCCAGAAGAAGGAGCUUUCAAGUCUCCCCGCUGCAGGGGUUCGUCCUCAGGGAAGACUCCCUCUUCCCCUUCCGACCCGUGCUGGGGCGCGUGGCCCUUCCUGGUGAAACCGGUGCCGGUUCCUUCCACCCGGUCAUUUACAAAAAUCACAAACAGCAGUGGACCCAACACCGACCCUUGCGGUACACCACUAGUAACUGGUCUCCAGGAUGAACAUUUCCCAUCAACUACCACCCUCUGUCUUCUUUCAGCAAGCCAAUUUCUGAUCCAAACUGCUAUAUCUCCCACAGUUCCAUUCCUCUGCAUUUUGUACAAUAGCCUACUGUGGGGUACCUUAUCGAACGUCUUGCUGAAAUCCAUAUACUCCACAUCAACCGGUUUACUCUCAUCUACCUGUUUGGUCUCCUUCUCAAAGAACUCA
Molecule: long non-coding RNA, 513 nt
Organism: Stegostoma tigrinum
Lineage: Eukaryota; Metazoa; Chordata; Chondrichthyes; Orectolobiformes; Stegostomatidae
Exons: 3
Source: RefSeq, a predicted model, not a curated record